UACAGAGGGUGCAAGCGUUGUUCGGAAUUAUUGGGCGUAAAGGGUGCGUAGGCGGUGCGGUAAGUCUGUAGUGAAAUCUCUGGGCUCAACUCAGAGUCUGCUAUAGAAACUGCCGUGCUUGAGUGUGGGAGAGGUGAGUGGAAUUCCCGGUGUAGCGGUGAAAUGCGUCGAUAUCGGGAGGAACACCUGUGGCGAAAGCGGCUCACUGGACCACAACUGACGCUGAUGCACGAAAGCUAGGGGAGCAAACAGG
Molecule: ribosomal RNA, 253 nt
Filed under: uncultured bacterium
Lineage: Bacteria
Description: partial 16S ribosomal RNA
Rfam family: Bacterial small subunit ribosomal RNA
Source: RNAcentral